RNAcentral lists this ribosomal RNA (465 nucleotides) under Vreelandella stevensii. RNAcentral describes it as "partial 16S ribosomal RNA". It matches the Rfam family "Bacterial small subunit ribosomal RNA", at positions 338 to 795 of the family's 1533-position model. The record is from RNAcentral. Lineage: Bacteria; Pseudomonadati; Pseudomonadota; Gammaproteobacteria; Oceanospirillales; Halomonadaceae.
CCUACGGGUGGCUGCAGUGGGGAAUAUUGGACAAUGGGCGAAAGCCUGAUCCAGCCAUGCCGCGUGUGUGAAGAAGGCCUUCGGGUUGUAAAGCACUUUCAGUGGGGAAGAAAGCCUUGGGGCUAAUACCCUCGAGGAAGGACAUCACCCACAGAAGAAGCACCGGCUAACUCCGUGCCAGCAGCCGCGGUAAUACGGAGGGUGCGAGCGUUAAUCGGAAUUACUGGGCGUAAAGCGCGCGUAGGCGGUCUGAUAAGCCGGUUGUGAAAGCCCCGGGCUCAACCUGGGAACGGCAUCCGGAACUGUCAGGCUAGAGUGCAGGAGAGGAAGGUAGAAUUCCCGGUGUGGCGGUGAAAUGCGUAGAGAUCGGGAGGAAUACCAGUGGCGAAGGCGGCCUUCUGGACUGACACUGACGCUGAGGUGCGAAAGCGUGGGUAGCAAACAGGAUUAGAUACCCCGGUAGUC